This 72-nucleotide non-coding RNA is filed under the name unclassified sequences. The record is from RNAcentral.
CGGCAUCAAAUAAGAUUGAACCUUUACGUGGUGAUGCUAUAAGUAGGAAUUAAUUCCGAAACUAAUCAAUCA